This 579-nucleotide ribosomal RNA is filed under the name uncultured bacterium. Its description in RNAcentral is "bacterial SSU rRNA". It matches the Rfam family "Bacterial small subunit ribosomal RNA", at positions 1 to 576 of the family's 1533-position model. The record is from RNAcentral.
CAUGAGAGUUUGAUCAUGGCUCAGAUUGAACGCUGGCGGCAUGCCUUACACAUGCAAGUCGAACGGCAGCACGGGAGCAAUCCUGGUGGCGAGUGGCGAACGGGUGAGUAAUACAUCGGAACGUGCCCAAUCGUGGGGGAUAACGCAGCGAAAGCUGUGCUAAUACCGCAUAAGAUCUACGGAUGAAAGCAGGGGACUCGCAAGAGCCUUGCGCGAAUGGAGCGGCUGAUGGCAGAUUAGGUAGUUGGUGAGGUAAAGGCUCACCAAGCCUUCGAUCUGUAGCUGGUCUGAGAGGACGACCAGCCACACUGGGACUGAGACACGGCCCAGACUCCUACGGGAGGCAGCAGUGGGGAAUUUUGGACAAUGGGCGCAAGCCUGAUCCAGCCAUGCCGCGUGCAGGAUGAAGGCCUUCGGGUUGUAAACUGCUUUUGUACGGAACGAAAAGGUUCUUUCUAAUAAAGAGAGCUCAUGACGGUACCGUAAGAAUAAGCACCGGCUAACUACGUGCCAGCAGCCGCGGUAAUACGUAGGGUGCGAGCGUUAAUCGGAAUUACUGGGCGUAAAGCGUGCGCAGGC